AUUGAACGCUGGCGGCAUGCCUUACACAUGCAAGUCGAACGGUAACGCGGGGCAACCUGGCGACGAGUGGCGAACGGGUGAGUAACACAUCGGAACGUGCCCAGUAGUGGGGGAUAGCCCGGCGAAAGCCGGAUUAAUACCGCAUACGACCUAAGGGUGAAAGCAGGGGAUCGCAAGACCUUGCGCUAUUGGAGCGGCCGAUGUCAGAUUAGGUAGUUGGUGGGGUAAAAGCCUACCAAGCCGACGAUCUGUAGCUGGUCUGAGAGGACGACCAGCCACACUGGGACUGAGACACGGCCCAGACUCCUACGGGAGGCAGCAGUGGGGAAUUUUGGACAAUGGGCGCAAGCCUGAUCCAGCCAUGCCGCGUGCGGGAAGAAGGGCCUCGGUUGUAACGCUUUGUCAGGAGAAACGGUACGUGGGUUAAGUA
RNAcentral lists this ribosomal RNA (430 nucleotides) under uncultured bacterium. RNAcentral describes it as "bacterial SSU rRNA". It matches the Rfam family "Bacterial small subunit ribosomal RNA", at positions 29 to 467 of the family's 1533-position model. The record is from RNAcentral.